Molecule: long non-coding RNA, 1547 nt
Organism: Rosa chinensis
Lineage: Eukaryota; Viridiplantae; Streptophyta; Magnoliopsida; Rosales; Rosaceae
Exons: 6
Source: RefSeq, a predicted model, not a curated record
CAGAGGAUGAGAGCAUGCAGGUUUUCCAAUUUAUUGAUUUAGAGGAGGGGGAGGCGCUUCAAGAGGACCCAAAACAAAACAGGAGACACCAGAAAUAGAAGGAAAUUGCAAAAUCGCAAAGGCCCUGUUCAUAAUUGACAACAGUUCUUUCUGUUUCAAUUGCUAAAUCAAGUUCGAUUGAUUGCGAAGAGGAAAGACAGCGCGGGCAAGGCGAUGCAAAAACCGAAAGCAGUUCUCUUCAGAACCUGACCUUUCAAUGCUGAAUCUAUAGUAAGGUUCCUUCCAUUCAGAACCUUACUCUAGAUUCAGCAUUGAAAGGUCUUUGCUUGAUCGCGAAGGACUAUGAGAAAGGAAGAUAUCUUCUAGAUGCAAAAUAUCAAUUUCGAUGGAAAGGUCUUACUAUAGAUGAACACUUCUCAUAAGAACAGUACCCAAGUUCAUAAUAACUGUUCAUCCAUUUGGGUUCUCAAAUUAACAUCUUCUUCAUCAUUGGGUGCUAAAUAUUAAUCGGUUUCAGAAGCAACAAUGAGAAUGACGAGGAAACAAAGAGGAAAGAAGCAGCCAACAUGGAGGAUCACAACUUCACAAGUAAUUAUGACAAACAACUUUAAUUAUGACAACAAACUUGGAGAAGGAGGAUUUGAAAGUGUCUACUGGGUCAGCUUUGGGAUGGAUCACAAGAUAUAUCUUUAGGAAUCUUUGGGAAUUACUUGGAUGUCUUCUUGUUUAUUUCGAAAACGUAUUUUAAUUGUUAUAUUCUAGCCUGUAAAAAAAAAAAAAAAAAAAGUCUAUGGCUUCUAACUUAUGGCAUACGACUUUCAUUAUUGAUUCGUAUUCCAGCUUUCAUUUAUAAGGCUGGCAAGAACUCUUGGGUGAAAAGCCUCAGUAUCUAACCGUAGCUUACAGCUUAUAGUUGUUGAAAAGAAAGUUGGUUUCGGGGUUCAUUGAUUAGUACCCCUUCGGUGCUGGUAAGGUUGGGAGCAUGGUCGUCCAUCUCUGCUUGGCCACAAAUCUGAGAGAAGGUUGUUGCGAUAAUGACAUCUGGUUUGUCUUUAAAAUAAUGAAAUGAAGAAUUUCACUACAUUGAUUGUGGAUAUAACCUGCCAUGGGUUUUGCUUAUAACUUGCCAUGGGUCAAAGGCCACGUUUGAACAUGUACCUCCAUUUUCAGUUCGAAAGGAGUUCACACAUAUAUUCUCCUUCAGCAUUGUUUUAGUUAUCCAACAGGUAUCAAGUCUAUGCUCAUACUUUAGGUUGCCCUUGAUUGGUAUAUUGUUUAGUACAAAUACAUUUAUUUUUUAUUAUUCUUCAUAUAUUAUUUCUCUAUCGCCUUCUAUUACGACCGGAGUGCUGUUCAUUUGGUAAUGGGGAAUAUGUAAAAGCUGGUUUGGCUGAGUUAGAGCAUUGGUGCUAUGAAGCAACAGAUGGUACCUUGAAACUAUCUCUAACUUGGCUUAUUGUAUUGUAAACUCUUAUAGAAUAAACAAAAAUGUAGUAUGCAGGUUCAGCUUGGGAUGAACUCGAGCAUACUAGGCAAGCCAUUGGAUU